Molecule: transfer RNA, 72 nt
Filed under: Elusimicrobiota bacterium
Lineage: Bacteria; Pseudomonadati; Elusimicrobiota
Description: Elusimicrobia bacterium (groundwater metagenome) tRNA-Arg
Rfam family: tRNA
About the family: Transfer RNA (tRNA) molecules are approximately 80 nucleotides in length.
Source: RNAcentral
GUCCCCAUAGCUCAAUGGAUAGAGCACCUGCCUUCUAAGCAGGGAAUCCAGGUUCGAUUCCUGGUGGGGACA